Molecule: unclassified non-coding RNA, 282 nt
Filed under: plant metagenome
Description: partial contains small subunit ribosomal RNA, internal transcribed spacer 1, and 5.8S ribosomal RNA
Rfam family: 5.8S ribosomal RNA (bases 235-282)
Source: RNAcentral
UUUCCGUAGGUGAACCUGCGGAAGGAUCAUUAUUGUAUAACCGAGGUGCGAGGGCUGUCGCUGACCCGAAAGGUCGUGCACGCCCGAGUGCCCUCACACACAUCCAUCGCACCCCUAUGUGCACCACCGCGUGGAUCCCCCUUUGGCUUGUUCGGAGGGGGGCUUACGUUUUCACACAAACUUUGUAUGCAGUGUAGAAUGUAUUUUUUGUUUUUGCGAUCACGCAAUCAAUACAACUUUCAACAACGGAUCUCUUGGCUCUCGCAUCGAUGAAGAACGCAC